AGCUUUUUGCAGUGGCAGUAUUAUAGCCAAUGAGGUUUGUCCAAGGUUCAAUUAUUGCUAAUUGAAAACUUCUAGAUUGGAAGAGUCC
Molecule: small nuclear RNA, 88 nt
Filed under: Sorex araneus (European shrew)
Lineage: Eukaryota; Metazoa; Chordata; Mammalia; Eulipotyphla; Soricidae
Description: U4 spliceosomal RNA (ENSSARG00000020276.1)
Rfam family: U4 spliceosomal RNA (bases 1-78)
About the family: U4 small nuclear RNA (U4 snRNA) is a component of the major U2-dependent spliceosome.
Source: RNAcentral